UUUCAUUUUGACAAUAAAUUUAAAAAUUUUCCAAAUACCCAUUCAUGUUCCUUUUCCUUUCUUACAGCAUCCUGUUCUUGUUUAAUGGAUGCACUAGUAGCUUGACUCUCUGGGUACAAUAGAGGUAUUUUUUAUAUAUUUUUUCUUUUUUUAAAAAAUAUCUGUUUCCUUUGAGGUUCGUUUUACCCUGUUUGCUUAUUUUGGUCUCUCUUAAUUUGCGGUCAUUUCUCAAAUGCCUGGUAAUCCAUGGUCAUAUACUCAUAUUUAGGAAUGUAGCAACAAAUACUUGAUUGGAAGCUCUGUGUAUGGGGGACAGUGCUAGUUGACUGGUGGCUUCCCUUUAAGAUGAUUGGAGGAGAACAUGACUGCUAUGCUGCAGAGUCCCCAAAUGCCAGAAUACAAAGAUCUUUUCUCUGAGGUUGUUCGGUUUCCUUAGUUAAGAACCCUCCGGGUUUUGCCUAAUGGGUAGACACUUGGCUGCUGUGAACUGUACACAAGGGGUGGGUUAAUGGUUAGAUAUACAGCCUUCCAAUUAAUCUCCCUGUUUUCAGCCCAACAUCUCACUCCCACUUUAUAUCAUACCUGGCAUUGUUAAGACCCAAGACACUCCAGGCUUCUGCAAAGAAAGAUCAACUCCUUCCUCGAUGGCAUCAUCUCCAUGCAUACUCCAGGCUAUGGCUUCCUCCACCAUGCUCCAUCAGUUACCAUUCCUCCAUUACUUUCUAUCUUCCAAAAAUGUGUUGAAAUCUCUCUUUUGCUGAUGGACCUGCUCUCAUUCUCUUCAUCAUUGUGUUUUUAUACCUUUUUUUAAAUUCCUUUACUAUCAUUUUAACAAGGUCUCAGGUGGGAGUGGAGAUAAACACAUGGUAAGUCUGCCAUCUUGACCUGGAAAUCUGGUCGAUAACGGUUUGUUUUUAAUUUUUCUGGUAAUUAUCUUAAUAUCUCUAAAUAAUAUGCAGAUUUUUCUGUUUAUCAACUUAUUUAUCACUUUUAGACAUUGUCUGUUGACUUCCUGCUAUUUAAAUCACCCAAUGACCCUCCUCCUGUGCACCCAAUAUAGCUCUAUUAUUAAUUAUAUAUUCUCUAUUCCUUACCUUUGUACCUUUAAAUAAUAGACUUAUACUCCUUUCAGCCUCUCAACUUCUGUCAUUUAUACUUUUAUAUUAAUAAGAUUAAUAACAUUUACAUUCUGGUCUGUAACCAUAAUUAAGUCAUCCAUACUUAGCCGACAGAUCAUUCUAAAAGUUUAAAGUCAAUAAAGUGUUUAUGUUAUUAUAAUUAUGUAAAUGUUGUUCCCUGAAGCUCCAAUUAGUGUACUAGGAUUACAUUUCUUUUCUUAUGCAUUUUUUUCCCUGGAGUUUCUAAUUGCCUUUCUUUUUUCCUUGCAUUGUCUGACUUUAUCUCCUUCUUAAGUUGUUCCAAAUUCUCAAGGAAAGUAUAAAAUCAUUUGAAUCCCCUUUUUUCCCAGAUACCUUCCUCCUGGAGCCCUCCGUCUUCCUGCUCCAAUUUGGACUGAUUGCUCUGUAGGCCUGCAGCACAACUGUCAUCCUGGGACGUCCCUUCAUUACUCUUCUGGGCUGGACCCAAUCUUUCCUGGACCCCAUAUCUUCCUCUUUCUUAGUUUACUCCUUUGUAGUGGACUUUGUGGUUGUUUUCCAGCAUCCAUUCCUCUCCUCCCCCAUUGUAUGACAACUAUACAAUUUGAGUGGGGUUGACCCCACUGCCAGCUCUAGGUAUAGUCCUUUAUUGGUAUAAACCAAUCUGAGUGUCACGCCCCCUUGCCACAGUGAUGAUUGGUUCAGGGAUGAUCCAGUCACACUGAAGUUUAGGACUUUUGUUCCAUUUUUGAGGGAAGAGGUGGCCUAUCUUCCCUUGGAUAUGACCAAAGAAGCAUGUAGCAAAGAAGCAUGCAGAAGGCCUACCUGAGGAUGGAGCUGACAAAUGGAGAAAGCAAAAGAACCACAGAGAAAUGGAACCAUAUUCCUGAUCAUACCAUGCCUGAAGUCUUCCCUGCCUACGAACUUCUCCCAGUUAAGUGAGCCAAUAAAUUACGUUUGUUAUUUAAGCCGGCUUGAGUCGAGUUUUAUAUUGCUUGCAUCUGAAAGCAUUCUUACACUUUUUUGCUGUCUCCUUUUAGAGAGGGAAUGAGUGUGUUUUGGGUUAUAUGAGGCACUAAGGGUAAGUGGAAGCAUUUUUGUAGAGUAACUUUGGGAAGAAGGGUGUAUGUGGAUGUUCGGCAACCAAAAAAGUGAACUCUACCAGCUGCCGGGCAUCUAAAUCCUCAUCCUGUUUGGGAGAUUCCCCACUCCCGUGAGUCCUGGUGGGAGGCAGGGCUCCACUUCCUACUGUGGAAACUGAAGGAGGUCAGAAACUUCCUUUCCCUACCCACCAGGCAACAAGGGUUGAAUACUCUGUUCAUGGCCUUGAAUCUAGAGUCAACAGUACAAGGGAGACAGGAAUAUACAAAAUUAACAUAUGGAUGAUAGAUUAGGAGAAUAUAUUUGCAAUGUGCAAAAGUGGCAAAAGAUUAAUAACUAGAAAAAGAAGAUAGUAAACCUAAUAGGAAAAUGGGCAAAUGAUACAAAGAGUAACUGACAGGAGAAUCUUGAAUUUACACAAGGGGAAACUUGAAUAUAUUAAGACAUUUUCAAAUGCACUAAUAAUUAGAAAGAUGAAAAUUAAAAUAACAAAUUGCUACAAGAAUGACAACAUGCAGAAAGUCAGGUAUUAUCAAAUACUGAUGAAGAUGUGAGGAAAAUUAUGGGUGGGAGCAUGAACUGAUACAGGUAUUCCAGAGAUUAAUUUGGCAGUACUUCCUGAGGUUCAGUCUGUGUAGAUCCUACAACAUAGAAACUGCACUCCUGAAUAUAUAUCCCUAGGAAAUUCUCACACAGGUCCUUAAGGAAAUAUAGUUGAGGUUGUUUGUUCUAGCGUUGUUUGUGUUUAGUGAGGAAUUGGGAGCAGUUUAGGUGUCCAUCACCAAGGGACCAGUUAAGCAAACUGGUAUAUUUAUAGGAUGAGAAAUAUAAAACAAUAAAAAGAAAUGAGCUAAAUUUACUAUAGCCAUACAGAUAGGUCUCCAAAGUCUAGCACUGAGUGAAAAGGUAAAAACAACAUGAGAUUUACAGCAGAACACCAUUUAUGUAGUCACACAACCCUGUCUGUUUUCAUGGGUAUGCAUAUAUCUAAGUAAACAUAUGGAAGAUGGCUUGGAAGUGUAUAAACAUGAAAUACACUCGAGUAGCUCACUGAGGUGGGCUGUAGAAUGGGAGUGGGGAUGGGAACUGAAAGGGAAAAAUAAUAAUACAAUGAAAUAAAGCAAAAGAGGGGCCUUGAAUGAACAGAGGAAAAUAACAUGCCAUGGAUUGAAGAGCAUGAGUAAGACAAUGCCGAAGUUGACCACAAAUAACUGGGACUAGACAGGAGGGCUAGAGUUCAUCCAUAGUGGUGUGUGGUGGUAGGAUGACAUCCAGGGGUUGCAGCAGUGGGGGUAGCAGGACCAGUGGCAGCAUUGUAACAUGGCUGUUCACCCAGGGUGGCCUUAGCUGUGGCUUCCGUGUCUCCAGGCUUCUGUGAACUACAUGAUAACCUAGUAAUAAGUCCCUUUUCUCCUUAAGUUAACUAGAGUCAGUAUCUGUUACUGGCAUCCAAGAAUCCUGACUGAGACGUCAUGCAUUUGGUUGGAGAACAUCCUCAAGUAACUUCUUGAGAAAGAGUUGUGCUGCCUGGAGCUGUGACAGCAAUCUUGUGACAGUGAGGGGAUGAACAUGAGGGUGAAGACGCAACACAUGAAGGAAGAAAAAGUUAGAGCCUGGUUCCCUGAUGGCAUCAUUGAGCAGUUGAACCCAUGCCACGCUGUUGUUAAUAAUAAAUUAACUUCCUUAAAAAUAAAUAAAUGAAGGAAUAAAUAAAGCCAUAUGUGUU
Callorhinus ursinus (northern fur seal) is the source of this 3924-nucleotide non-coding RNA. Lineage: Eukaryota; Metazoa; Chordata; Mammalia; Carnivora; Otariidae. The record is from RefSeq and is a predicted model, not a curated record.